This 346-nucleotide RNase P RNA is filed under the name Candidatus Saccharimonadota bacterium. Its description in RNAcentral is "RNase P RNA component class A". It matches the Rfam family "Bacterial RNase P class A". From Rfam's summary of the family: Ribonuclease P (RNase P) is a ubiquitous endoribonuclease, found in archaea, bacteria and eukarya as well as chloroplasts and mitochondria. Its best characterised activity is the generation of mature 5'-ends of tRNAs by cleaving the 5'-leader elements of precursor-tRNAs. The record is from RNAcentral. Lineage: Bacteria; Candidatus Saccharimonadota.
GUGCUCGUGAGUAGUCGCUGGCCUGAAAAAUGGCGAGAGGAAAGUCCGGGCAGCGCAGGGUAGGAUAGUUGCUAACGGCAACCGCGCGUAAGCGUAGGAAAAGUGCCACAGAAACAAAACCGCCACUUUGUGGUAAGGGUGAAAAGAGUGGGGUAAGAGCCCACAGGGCACGGUAGUGAUAUCGGGCCAGGGUAAACUCUAUCCGCUGCAAGGAGACCUAGAUACUGUGACCCGCAGAUGGUCGAUCACCGCUUGAGCGCAUGAGCAAUCGUGCGCCUAGAUAGAUGACUACUAGCUUCGAUUUAUCGGAGCGAGACAAAACCCGGCUUAUUGAUCGAGCAACAGA